CACCGUCGGGAAUGGUGCUGG
This 21-nucleotide unclassified non-coding RNA is filed under the name Chlamydomonas reinhardtii. RNAcentral's name for it is "small RNA Cre_0881". The record is from RNAcentral. Lineage: Eukaryota; Viridiplantae; Chlorophyta; Chlorophyceae; Chlamydomonadales; Chlamydomonadaceae.